CCUACGGGAGGCAGCAGUCGAGAAUCAUUCACAAUGGGGGAAACUCUGAUGGUGCGACGCCGCGUGGGGGAAUGAAGGUCUUCGGAUUGUAAACUCCUGUUAUGUGGGAGUCAAUUAAAAAGAUUGUACCACAAGAGGAAGAGACGGUUAACUCAGUGCCAGCAGCUGAGGUAAUACAGAGGUCUCAAGCGUUGUUCGGAAUCACUGGGCGUAAAGCGUGCGUAGGCUGUUGUGUAAGUCGAGUGUGAAAGGCGCGGGCUCAACCCGCGGACGGCACAUGAGACUGAGGGACUAGAGUAAUGAAAGGAGAACCGGAAUUCUCGGUGUAGCGGUGAAAUGCGUAGAUAUCGAGAGGAACACUCGUGGCGAAGGCGGGUUCCUGGACAUUAACUGACGCUGAGGCACGAAGGCCAGGGGAGCGAAAGGGAUUAGAUACCCGGGUAGUC
This 446-nucleotide ribosomal RNA is filed under the name uncultured bacterium. Its description in RNAcentral is "partial 16S ribosomal RNA". It matches the Rfam family "Bacterial small subunit ribosomal RNA", at positions 338 to 795 of the family's 1533-position model. The record is from RNAcentral.